RNAcentral lists this ribosomal RNA (439 nucleotides) under uncultured bacterium. RNAcentral describes it as "partial 16S ribosomal RNA". It matches the Rfam family "Bacterial small subunit ribosomal RNA", at positions 338 to 795 of the family's 1533-position model. The record is from RNAcentral.
CCUACGGGAGGCAGCAGUGGAGAAUCUUGCACAAUGGGGGAAACCCUGAUGCAGCAACGCCGCGUGAAGGAAGAAGGCCCUUGGGUCGUAAACUUCUUUUCUAAGGGAAGAUAAUGACGGUACCUUAGGAACAAGUCCCGGCUAACUACGUGCCAGCAGCCGCGGUAAUACGUAGGGGGCGAGCGUUAUCCGGAAUUAUUGGGCGUAAAGAGUACGUAGGUGGUUUCCUAAGCAUGGGGUUUAAGGCAAUGGCUCAACUGUUGUUCGCCCUAUGAACUGGGUUACUUGAGUGCUGGAGGGGAAAGCGGAAUUCCUAGUGUAGCGGAGAAAUGCGUAGAUAUUAGGAGGAACACCAGUGGCGAAGGCGGCUUUCUGGACAGUAACUGACACUGAGGUACGAAAGUGUGGGGAGCAAACAGGAUUAGAUACCCUUGUAGUC